This 701-nucleotide ribosomal RNA is filed under the name uncultured organism. RNAcentral describes it as "bacterial SSU rRNA". It matches the Rfam family "Bacterial small subunit ribosomal RNA", at positions 107 to 832 of the family's 1533-position model. The record is from RNAcentral.
UGAGUAACGCGUGGGAAUCUACCUUGUAGUGGGGAAUAGCCUUUCGAAAGAGAGGGUAAUACCGCAUGUUUCCAAAUUUAUUUGGAAAAAGACUUCGGUCGCUAUAAGAGGAGCCCGCGUCCUAUCAGGUAGUUGGUGGGGUAAUAGCCUACCAAGCCAAUGACGGGUAGCCGGUGUGAGAGCACGACCGGCCACAAGGUCACUGAAACACGGGGCCUACACCUACGGGUGGCAGCAACCGGGAAUAUUGCGCAAUGGGCGAAAGCCUGACGCAGCGACACCGCGUGUGGGAAGAAGCUUUUCGGAGUGUAAACCACUGUGGCAAGGGAAGAAUUUUUGACGGUACCUUGCUAGAAAGCACCUGCUAACUACGUGCCAGAAGCCUCGGUAAUACGUAGGGUGCAAGCGUUAUCCGGAUUUAUUGGGCGUAAAGAGUUCCGCAGGCGUCUUUACAAGUUUCUUGUUUAAGCCUGAGGCUCAACUUCAGAAAAGCAAGAAAAACUGUAAAGAUUGAGUUUGUUUGGGGAAGCUGGAAUUCUCGGUGGAGGGGUGAAAUCCGUAGAUAUCGAGAGGAACACCAAUCGCGAAGGCAAGCUUCUAAAACAAUACUGACGCUAAGGGACGAAAGCUUGGGUAGCAAAAGGGACUAGAGACCCCUGUAGUCCAAGCCGUAAACUUUCCUCGCUAGUUGCCUGGUUAAU